RNAcentral lists this ribosomal RNA (461 nucleotides) under Clostridioides difficile. RNAcentral describes it as "partial 23S ribosomal RNA". It matches the Rfam family "Bacterial large subunit ribosomal RNA", at positions 728 to 1189 of the family's 2925-position model. The record is from RNAcentral. Lineage: Bacteria; Bacillati; Bacillota; Clostridia; Peptostreptococcales; Peptostreptococcaceae.
ACCUACCCAUGAGCAGGAUGAAGCGAAAGUAAAAUUUCGUGGAGGUCCGAACCCACGAGCGUUGAAAAGCUCGGGGAUGACUUGUGGGUAGCGGUGAAAUUCCAAUCGAGCCCGGAGAUAGCUGGUUCUCCCCGAAAUAGCUUUAGGGCUAGCCUCAAGGUGAGAGAUACGGAGGUAGAGCACUGAAUGUCCUAGGGGGUAUUGCACCUACCGAAGACUAUCAAACUCCGAAUGCCGUCAUCUUAUACUUGGGAGUCAGACUGUGGGUGAUAAGAUUCAUAGUCGAAAGGGCAACAGCCCAGAUCGUCAGCUAAGGUCCCUAAAUGUAAGUUAAGUGGUAAAGGAUGUGGGAUUGCACAGACAACCAGGAUGUUGGCUUAGAAGCAGCCACUCAUUCAAAGAGUGCGUAAUAGCUCACUGGUCGAGUGAUCCUGCGCCGAAGAUUUCCGGGGCUAAAACUU